Molecule: ribosomal RNA, 478 nt
Filed under: uncultured bacterium
Lineage: Bacteria
Description: partial 16S ribosomal RNA
Rfam family: Bacterial small subunit ribosomal RNA
Source: RNAcentral
GACGAACGCUGGCGGCGUGCUUAACACAUGCAAGUCGAACGGUAAGGCCCUUCGGGGUACACGAGUGGCGAACGGGUGAGUAACGCGUGGGUGAUCUGCCCUGCACUUCGGGAUAAGCCUGGGAAACUGGGGCUAAUACCGGAUAGGACUCCUGGCUUCAUGGUUGGGGGUGGAAAGCUUUUGCGGUGUGGGAUGGGCCCGCGGCCUAUCAGCUUGUUGGUGGGGUAAUGGCCUACCAAGGCGACGACGGGUAGCCGGCCUGAGAGGGUGACCGGUCACACUGGGACUGAGAUACGGCCCAGACUCCUACGGGAGGCAGCAGUGGGGAAUAUUGCACAAUGGGCGCAAGCCUGAUGCAGCGACGCCGCGUGAGGGAUGACGGCCUUCGGGUUGUAAACCUCUUUCAGCUAUGACGAAGCGCAAGUGACGGUAGUAGCAGAAGAAGGACCGGCCAACUACGUGCCAGCCGCCGCUGUAA